RNAcentral lists this ribosomal RNA (538 nucleotides) under uncultured bacterium. Its description in RNAcentral is "bacterial SSU rRNA". It matches the Rfam family "Bacterial small subunit ribosomal RNA", at positions 355 to 896 of the family's 1533-position model. The record is from RNAcentral.
UGGGGAAUUUUGCGCAAUGGGCGAAAGCCUGACGCAGCGACGCCGCGUGGAGGAAGAAGGCCUUAGGGUUGUAAACUUCUUUAGUAGGGGAAGAAGCCGCGAGCAAUCGUGGUGACGGUACCCUAAAAAUAAGCCACGGCUAACUCUGUGCCAGCAGCCGCGGUAAGACAGAGGUGGCAAGCGUUGUUCGGAUUUACUGGGCUUAAAGCGCGCGUAGGCGUCUUGAUAAGUCAGAUGUGGAAGCCUUGGGCUUAACUCAAGAAUUGCAUUUGAUACUGUCGAGAUUGAGUCAUGCAGAGGAGGGCGGAAUUCCUGGUGUAGCGGUGAAAUGCGUAGAUAUCAGGAGGAAGGCCGGAGGCGAAGGCGGCCCUCUGGGCAAUGACUGACGCUGAGGUGCGAAAGCGUGGGUAGCAAACAGGAUUAGAUACCCUGGUAGUCCACGCCCUAAACGGUGGGUACUAGGUGUGGGUGGCGAUAGUCAUUCGUGCCGUAGGGAAACCAUUAAGUACCCCGCCUGGGGAGUACGGUCGCAAGAUUA